Molecule: transfer RNA, 65 nt
Filed under: Canthesancus helluo
Lineage: Eukaryota; Metazoa; Arthropoda; Insecta; Hemiptera; Reduviidae
Description: tRNA-Leu
Source: RNAcentral
ACUAUUUUGGCAGAUUAGUGCAGUAAAUUUAGAAUUUAUUUAUGUAGAUGGAUCUACAAAUAGUA